GAUGAACGCUGGCGGCGUGCCUAAUACAUGCAAGUCGAGCGAACGGACGAGAAGCUUGCUUCUCUGAUGUUAGCGGCGGACGGGUGAGUAACACGUGGAUAACCUACCUAUAAGACUGGGAUAACUUCGGGAAACCGGAGCUAAUACCGGAUAAUAUUUUGAACCGCAUGGUUCAAAAGUGAAAGACGGUCUUGCUGUCACUUAUAGAUGGAUCCGCGCUGCAUUAGCUAGUUGGUAAGGUAACGGCUUACCAAGGCAACGAUGCAUAGCCGACCUGAGAGGGUGAUCGGCCACACUGGAACUGAGACACGGUCCAGACUCCUACGGGAGGCAGCAGUAGGGAAUCUUCCGCAAUGGGCGAAAGCCUGACGGAGCAACGCCGCGUGAGUGAUGAAGGUCUUCGGAUCGUAAAACUCUAUAAUUAGGGAAGAACAUAUGUGUAAGUAACUGUGCACAUCUUGACGGUACCUAAUCAGAAAGCCACGGCUAACUACGUG
Molecule: ribosomal RNA, 497 nt
Filed under: uncultured bacterium
Lineage: Bacteria
Description: partial 16S ribosomal RNA
Rfam family: Bacterial small subunit ribosomal RNA
Source: RNAcentral